UAAGGAAGAACCUUAAUGGAAACGCUCGUUUAUCGAGCCUCUGCCUUUCGGUUCUCUUGGAACAAGAUGGAAGAAAGUCAUUCUUACCAUCGCGCAUACAUAAGCGGGAUCUGCCGCCUUCGUUUCUCUUUCUUCGUGGAUGAUUUAGUCUGCGCUCACGCGCCGUACCGCACCUGAAGGUGCUGGCGCUCCGCGAGGGCGCGGCACGAGCCGCGACGCGCAGUCGCGCUUGCGAGGCUGCGCCUCGGAUCGGCGGCGGCUUGCUGGGCGUAGCUAGGGCUUGUAGCUCAGUUGGUUAGAGCGCGCGCUUGAUAAGCGUGAGGUCGGAGGUUCAAGUCCUCCCAGGCCCACCACUAUCUUGUCAGGGGCCGUAGCUCAGCUGGGAGAGCACCUGCUUUGCAAGCAGGGGGUCGUCGGUUCGAUCCCGUCCGGCUCCACCAAGGUCUUGGUGGACAAGGUCAUCCAUAGAAAACAAGGUUUGCGGCAGGCUUUGGCUUGCUGCCUGUUCUGUUUGACAUCGUAAAGAGAAGAUUUGUUCAGACUCCUUUUGGAGCCUGGUCCAUUCCCGGAGGCUUCGGUCUUCGUGGUUGGCCUGGUGGCGAAAAAAGGUUUGUCGCGGUGAGACGCUCAAUCUCCCGCUUAUGAUGGGUUUGCCUAACCGCGCCCCUGGACAGGUCUCGAGAAGCUGGUCUUUUUGUGCCAGUGGCAUCUCUGCGCGAUCCCGAAGGGAUCGUCGCUGGGCGAUAAUUCCUUUGGAAUUACGCUGAGGUGGACAUUGGCAAUGAGAACGAUCAAGUGUCUUAAGGGCAAUUGGUGGAUGCCUUGGCAUGCACAGGCGAUGAAAGACGUGAUACGCUGCGAUAAGCUACGGGAGGUGCG
RNAcentral lists this unclassified non-coding RNA (879 nucleotides) under Neomesorhizobium albiziae. RNAcentral's name for it is "Mesorhizobium albiziae partial contains 16S-23S ribosomal RNA intergenic spacer and 23S ribosomal RNA". The stretch from base 277 to 350 matches the Rfam family "tRNA". The record is from RNAcentral. Lineage: Bacteria; Pseudomonadati; Pseudomonadota; Alphaproteobacteria; Hyphomicrobiales; Phyllobacteriaceae.